UGGGGAAUUUUGGACAAUGGGCGAAAGCCUGAUCCAGCAAUGCCGCGUGUGUGAAGAAGGCCUUCGGGUUGUAAAGCACUUUUGUCCGGAAAGAAAUCCUUGGCUCUAAUACAGUCGGGGGAUGACGGUACCGGAAGAAUAAGCACCGGCUAACUACGUGCCAGCAGCCGCGGUAAUACGUAGGGUGCAAGCGUUAAUCGGAAUUACUGGGCGUAAAGCGUGCGCAGGCGGUUUGCUAAGACCGAUGUGAAAUCCCCGGGCUCAACCUGGGAACUGCAUUGGUGACUGGCAGGCUAGAGUAUGGCAGAGGGGGGUAGAAUUCCACGUGUAGCAGUGAAAUGCGUAGAGAUGUGGAGGAAUACCGAUGGCGAAGGCAGCCCCCUGGGCCAAAUACUGACGCUCAUGCACGAAAAGCGUGGGGAGCAAAACAGGAUUAGAUACCCUGGUAGUCCACGCCCUAAAACGAUGUCAACUAGUUGUUGGGGAUUCAUUUCCUUAGUAACGUAGCUAACGCGUGAAGUUGACCGCCUGGGGAGUACGGUCGCAAGAUUAAAAACUUAAAUGAAUUGACGGGGUCAUAGCUGUUUCCU
This 590-nucleotide ribosomal RNA is filed under the name uncultured bacterium. RNAcentral's name for it is "partial 16S ribosomal RNA". It matches the Rfam family "Bacterial small subunit ribosomal RNA", at positions 355 to 1375 of the family's 1533-position model. The record is from RNAcentral.